CGGAGGAUCCGAGCGUUAUCCGGAUUUAUUGGGCUUAAAGGGUGCGUAGGCGGCCUGUUAAGUCAGGGGUGAAAGACGGUAGCUCAACUAUCGCAGUGCCCUUGAUACUGAUGGGCUUGAAUGUACUAGAGGUAGGCGGAAUGUGACAAGUAGCGGUGAAAUGCAUAGGUAUGUCACAGAACACCAAUUGCGAAGGCAGCUUACUAUGGUAUUAUUGACGCUGAGGCACGAAAGCGUGGGGAUCAAACAGGAUUAGAUACCCUGGUAGUCCACGCCCUAAACGAUGAAUACUCGAUGUUAGCGAUAUACAGUUAGCGUCAAAGCGAAAGCGUUAAGUAUUCCACCUGGGGAGUACGCCCGCAAGGGUG
RNAcentral lists this ribosomal RNA (368 nucleotides) under uncultured organism. RNAcentral describes it as "bacterial SSU rRNA". It matches the Rfam family "Bacterial small subunit ribosomal RNA", at positions 526 to 896 of the family's 1533-position model. The record is from RNAcentral.